GGGAAUAUCUCCCAAGUAAGUUCUUUUUCUGCCUCAGGCUGGUGAGGACUUUCACAAUUUUUCAAAGUACAAAAACAGGUAAUUCUGGCCAGAAUAAAUGAUAAGAAAGUGAACUGUUUUAGGCAAAACUUCCUUUUACAAAGCUUAGAAAGGGAAAGACCAAUUCUAAAAAAGGACAAAAGAGCGUUGAACUUCAAUUUUUGCAUGGACAGCUGCUUUUGAUCCGGACUGGACUGGGUAUGUCUGUGCUGGAUUGGACCAUCAACACCUUCAACUGUCAAGUUUCAGCUGUAAAUUGAUACCAACGUUCGAGUUUGGCAGAGCUUUAAUCUAUUUCAAGCCCUGGAAGGCUUCUUGAACAGGCAGAAUUGGAGCCUUUUCAGUCUAAAAUGGGCAGAAGUGGUUGGAUUUGAUGAUUACUGAGCUGGAACUGCACUAUAGUAUCUGUUCUACUUGAUCAGGGCUUUCCAUAAAUUUAUUGAGGUUUUCAUAUUUGUAAAAACCCGGGCUCUGCUUGAUUUGGCUUAUGCUGAACCAAAUUUAUCACGAAAGGAAUCUUGCUUUGAAG
RNAcentral lists this long non-coding RNA (568 nucleotides) under Prunus persica (peach). Its description in RNAcentral is "long non-coding RNA (PPER_LNC008043)". The record is from RNAcentral. Lineage: Eukaryota; Viridiplantae; Streptophyta; Magnoliopsida; Rosales; Rosaceae.